Long non-coding RNA from Oncorhynchus keta (chum salmon), 5377 nucleotides. RefSeq lists it as uncharacterized. The transcript is spliced from 2 exons. Lineage: Eukaryota; Metazoa; Chordata; Actinopteri; Salmoniformes; Salmonidae. The record is from RefSeq and is a predicted model, not a curated record.
CAGGUCGACUUGGUGGAGAUUCGGUCCUUGUGGCCUUGGGCGGAGCGCUUGAGCCAGGUUGCUCCUGUGGGUCACUCUGGAUGGGAGUGUCUGCUGGAGGACUGAAUGUAAUGUAAAUGUUGAGCGGCUUCAUUGCAGGUAGAUUGUAUGUUUUAAAAUGAGAUGAAAACAUUUAAAUUACUACCCAUCUGGCACGCUGACCCUCAAUACGGGGGCCCCUCAGUGGUGUGUGCUUAGUCCCCUCCUGUACUCCCUGUUCACCCAUGACUGUAUCAAAUCAAAUGUUAUUUGUCACAUACACAUGGUUAGCAGAUGUUAAUGCGAGUGUAGCGAAAUGCUUGUGCUCCUAGUUCUGACAAUGCAGUAAUAACCAACGAGUAAUCUAACAUAACAAUUCCACAACUACGACCUUACACACACAAGUAUAAAGGGAUAAAUAAUAUGUACAUAAAGAUAUAUGAAUGAGUGAUGUGUAGAGGAAUGCUAAUUCUUAUGUAGGUGACAUUACACUACUGUAGCUGGGAUAACGUAUUUUCAUAGUAAAACAGGUUGGGCCCCAUACAGGAUAUUUCUCACACACACACUCACUUUGAUCAUCCAGAACACUGUCACAACAGGAUACUCCUAGCCACAGGUGCUAGCCGGCAGUUCGGCCACAACUCCCCUGAAGAUAGGGACGCACACACAUUACACACGGACUCUUGAGGACAGGACAGGGACGCAUACGCUCUUACACACUGACCCCAGAAGACAGGGACGACGCACAUACAGUACACACAUAGCUGCCGAGGACACCCAGAUAAGACACCCACAGAUUGGCAGAAAGCCUAGACUUAGAGACAAACUAGCACACACACAUAAUCUCCUUCCCAGCCGAACAUUGUGUGACUGAAGAUAGCGCACACACCAGAUCUCCUUUUCAGCUGAACAUGGUGUGACGACCAAGAACAGGCAUGGCAGGAUUCUACGAUGAUGGACAGACAACAGAGCCAAUGCCGGAUGACUACACCCCAGCCUGAUCCAAUCCGAAGAUCCGAUCUCCUAGAAAUCAACCUACUUUCUGUACUGUAUAAAACAUGUAUGCUGUCUAAAUUAGGGGCUCUCUUUUUCUGACUCCCUCUGAGUUCAAGGAACAGAGCCCGUAUACGCUGUACACAAUACUUUUACUCUGAAUAAACUGCAGAUUGUUAAACUUUAACUCCUCGUCUGAACUGAUCCUUGACCGACUCGCUCACCUAAGCAUCUCACCUUUUACCAACAGAAUUCUUGGUAGCAGAGGAUGGUUUACUAAAGACCCAUAAAACGUGAGAGUACGGGAGCGGGUGGUGAAAGGACGGUUCAAGGAGAAAGACGAGCCAAUUCGGGGGAGGACAAAACUCUGCUCAACUCGGAGAACUGAUCUCAGGUCGACCACUAAAAAGAUACACCGGGUCGCAGAGGGGGAGCUGACGGAUGACCAGGAACAACCAAGGGUAAAGGUUGGUGACUGGGUAAGGAUCAAAGUCCACAAAGAAAGUGGGCUGAUCCUAGGUGGACUGGACCGUACGAAGUGAAGGAAGUUACUUCACACUCAGUCCAGGUCAAAGGUAAACCAGGCGCACCUUGGCACCACCUGACGCAUUGUACACCAGCACCAGCACCUGACAGAACACUGACAGAAGUCAGAAGCGAUUUGAUCGCAUCUAAUUCGGCUACAAAUUCUGCUAGCUCUGACAACUGAAGGAUGUGGAGACGCCUCCAAUCCUCAGAUGCCAGCGAAGGGCACCCUUACUCUAGACGACAUAGGGCACCAUGGGAAAGAUUAGGAUGCUCUCUUCCAAUGUUUGUGCUAUUGCUGUUCACCUCGGGUGUAGUAGUAGGAAUAAUGCUUUGGGCUUUCGAACAUACAGUUAACAAAACGGAUAUAAUACCAGAGGGCACUAAUUCCACAAUUGACAUCACUGAUCAAGUACUCCCCGGUUAUUGAUUUUGGUUUGAUUGUUCAGAUAACACCACUGAAAUUAAACAGGAGGUUAAGGUAGACUAACAUUAGAAUCUGUUUUCAUUAUGGGGAACAAUGAAAGGCCCGCAGAGGGGAUUGCAGGCGGAGGUUUUUAUGUUAAAGGGACAGUGCACAUUUAUCACAGUUGUGUGUGUGUCUAAUGGCUGGGGAUUUAAGAAGUAUUUUUGGGGAGACAAUUUGGAGAAACACGAAUAAAACAUGAAACACCGAGACAAAUUAUUUGAGUUUGAGUGGAUUAUCAUAAUUAUUAGGUUUUGUUUUUGUAGUAAACGUUUGGGUUAAGGGGAUUUUCACGUUCCCAGAGACAUGGUAUUUUACAGAUAGGUGAAAAGGCAGACGGAGGGGCCCUCCCCCGCACUGCAGAGACCUUGAAAGUUGGAGAGAAGAGAGGAGAGGUUUUUGGAAAGGGGGGGGCCAGGACAGGCAAAGAUAGCAGUUGCUGAGUGGAGAAAGGGGGGAGAGUUGGACAUGUGGAAAAUGUAGGGGGCGCUCCUACAGGAUAAUGUCAGAACAUUAAGGAUACUAUACUAAUCUUACCUAAGUCAUUAUUUAGAGUAGGUAAGGUUGAUACCUGGGCAGAGCCAGGUAUCAAAAGGGGGAUGGGUAAAUUGUGGUCUAGGAUAGGAUGGGGACUAUUGGAUAAGAAACUAAUAAUUUAAAAAUGUAGCUAACAAUUGGGCAUAGAAGUUAAAGAUAUAAUCAGAUAAAACAUAUGAGGAAUUGUUUGUUAACCAAGCCUGUAUGUCCAGGAUUUUAUGCAUUACAGGUGAACUACAGGUGAAGUCACUCAAUCCAGUCCCAGAGGCUUGGGGACCAUAGAAGACCCCUGGUGACAGCUAGCUGAAAGAGCUACCCAGAUUCAUAUCGCACGGCGGAAGGGUAAGACACUUUUUCACUGUCGGACAAUAAACAGAGUUCGGGAGAAGAACUGGAAUUAACAGAAUUCCGGGGGCCAACUCUCGAAUGAAGUAAACCCUACCUGUCCUAUCACCCCUGUUUUUGUUCAUAGAAGUGAGGAUGUGUCUGGCUCUGGCUAAGUGAUGUGUAUUUUGUUCCAAAAUGAACAUAAGAGAUCCCUAGAUCUGGGUAGACAGGAAGUUAGAGUAGAGAUUACAUGAUAACCGACUGCGGACUGUUCUAGGAUUGGAGAAGAGGGUAUCCUUAUAGCAUAGAGGAUCCCACAAAGGUGGAUAGGUUUUCCAUGAUAUGGGGAAACCUGGGAGCACUGUUGAACUUUGUAAAGGUGAUGAAAUCCUACUAACCAUAACAAAUAUUAAGCUCUAUGAUGCAGGCACUCACACCCUCGGACUACAAAGGACGAGGACAGACAUGAUGGGUGUGUUUUCUAUUAAGGUACUGCCAAGACCAGAGGUAGCCGGACACACUCCUCUACCACCACUGUGUUAAAAAUACCAUUCAGGUAAUUAAUCUUAGAGACUAUUCGGCUAUUGAUCAAUUAGGAACUGGGACUGGUUUUGAUUAUGGGAGAUUGCCUGAAGCUGAUUGCAGUAGUAACAUAACCAUUAAUUCCACUUGGCCAGUUACAGGCCUAAACCAAACUAGUGGUCUGGCUGAUGUGAGGUGGAUGUGUGGAGCCAAAAAGAGUGCUGAGACCCAUUCUUAGAGGAGAAUGGCAAGAUACGUGUGGUCUGACCAGUGAUAAUUCCACUGACCAUUGUUGAUGUUGCUGCUGAACAGCUGCUGAGUUCUGUAACCAGGGGACCUGAAAACAUUCCAUCCCAUGGGAGACAUAGAUGUAGUGCUCCAGGGACAGAGGAUGUAGUUGACAUACACACCAACCUGUUGGGAGUGCCAGUGGGGGUUCCUCAUGAGUUUCAGGCCUUGGGUAGGAAUGAUGGACUCUGGCACUUACUACCUACUAUGGGUCCAGCCAUGGUGGAUGCUAGACAGACUGCAUGGAUUAAUUAUAUCUACUAUAAUCAACAGCGUUUUGUGAAUUACUCCCGUGAUGCACUCACUGGUAUGUCUGAACAGCCUGAGGCCACAUUUGGGGUUUCCAGACAGAAUAGACUUGCCUUGGGAUAUGCUUCUUGCCAGUCAGGGGGACGUUUGCAAGAUGUUCGGUAAACAAUGUUGCACGUAUAUUCCUAAUAAUACCAGUCCAGAUGAUAUCUAGGGCGGGCUUGAUGCACUAUCUGAUAAGAUGAGGUCCACAAGGGGUGGAGGAGUCUGUUCUCUUGGCCUGGUUUGGUAAAUGCACUGAUAUGAUGGUUACUGGAUUUCUGACCUAAUUCUUGUAUUAUUUGUUAUUGAUGUGAUGUGCUGCUUGCAUCAUACCGUGUUCUAAGAAAUAUGUUACAGAUAUGGUGAAGGCUUCAGGCAUGUUGCCUUUGCUUGAUGCUCCAGUUGGAGAUGCCGAUACGGAAGCAUGCUUUCAGGAGAGGAUGGGACUGACUGAGGAUGACCCAUGGUAUGCUGAGGGUGAGGUAGUAGAAUACAUUUUUACACCACCACAGUUCCUUGUUAUACAUUUUAUGAUAGGUUUUCUUUCCAGUAUGUUUGUUCUCCCUGUUGUGAAGGUUUAGAGUCCCUGGGUGGCAAGGAGCCCACCUGGUACAGGAUAGGAGUAGCUGAGAGGACCAGAUGGUUUCUAAUAAUUCUUUACUCUGUUUUCCAUGACCAAAGUUUUGUCCUACAUCUUACAUGUCAAUAACAAUAAAGUUUUAUCCUGUUUUUGAUAAGUGACACCCUUGCGGGUGACAAAAGGGGGAAACAAAGCAUACAACAAAGGCAUAUAUCACUUGUUAUUAAUAAUAAACUUUUUAUUAUUUUCAUGAAAUGCUAUGACUGCUGAAAUAAAGGAAUGAGUGACACCCUAGCGGGUGUCAAAAGGGGACUUAAAUUUCACACUAUUUUCUUUUGUUCUGUUUUUGAAUGAGCUGUUCUCUUUUGACAUGAAGGUAGUUUAAACUUUGUAACUGUUAUAUGAUUCAUUGCUGAAUUUUUGUUCACACCCUUGGGGUUAUUUUACAUUAUAGCCAUUACCAUAUAUAAGAUUGAAUAUUAUCUGUUGUUGCCUUGUGUGGAGGUAUGUAUGUGUUAUGCUACCUAGCUGAUUUGAAACAUUGUUAAAAGUAUCAGGGCCAUGGAACUUUCUCAUGCUGGAAAAAUACAGAAGGGAGGGCACAUUCAGAGCGUGGGGUUGCGAGAACAAGCGGUCUUUUUGUUAGAUAACAGGAGCCAGGUGCGAGAUAACGGUAUGGAGCAUGAGACCCAUCUUUCAGUUUUUGCAGCCAUUUUAGGAGGGGGAUCCAGUUGCUUUAUUGAUUAAGCUUCUCCAUUGUAUGUCGUGUCCCAUCUGGGAUGGGAAGAGGGGGAAAUUAUUUUUCUUUGUGGGCCAUUUCCGUAUAGACU